This 237-nucleotide long non-coding RNA is filed under the name Nicotiana benthamiana. RNAcentral's name for it is "long non-coding RNA (NBEN_LNC018283)". Lineage: Eukaryota; Viridiplantae; Streptophyta; Magnoliopsida; Solanales; Solanaceae. The record is from RNAcentral.
GAGAAAUCCUGAUGCCCCGGUGAGGAGUUGUGAGCGGCUGGCGAUUGUCGGCGUUCGGCGAGGCAGAGGGAGGCCUAAGAGGUAUUGGAGAAAGGCGAUUAGGCAUGACAUGGCUAGAAUGCGGGUUUCUGAGGACAUGACUCUUGACAGGAAAGUCUGGAGGUCUAGUAUCAGGGUUGUAGGAUAGGGGCUCCUAGAGUUUUUUGUACUCCUCACCCGGGGUUGGGUGAAGCUUGG